UACGGGGGGAGCAAGCGUUGUUCGGAUUUACUGGGCGUAAAGGGCGCGUAGGCGGUCAGCACAAGUCAGUUGUGAAAUCUCCGGGCUUAACUCGGAAAGGUCAACUGAUACUGUGCGACUAGAGUGCAGAAGGGGCAACUGGAAUUCUCGGUGUAACGGUGAAAUGCGUAGAUAUCGAGAGGAACACCUGCGGCGAAGGCGGGUUGCUGGGCUGACACUGACGCUGAUGCGCGAAAGCCAGGGGAGCGAACGGG
This 254-nucleotide ribosomal RNA is filed under the name uncultured bacterium. RNAcentral describes it as "partial 16S ribosomal RNA". It matches the Rfam family "Bacterial small subunit ribosomal RNA", at positions 524 to 776 of the family's 1533-position model. The record is from RNAcentral.